This 74-nucleotide transfer RNA is filed under the name Echinostoma caproni. It matches the Rfam family "tRNA". From Rfam's summary of the family: Transfer RNA (tRNA) molecules are approximately 80 nucleotides in length. The record is from Rfam by way of RNAcentral. Lineage: Eukaryota; Metazoa; Platyhelminthes; Trematoda; Plagiorchiida; Echinostomatidae.
GGCCCGCUAGCUCAGUUGGUCAUAGCACCGUGCUAAUAACGCGAAUGUCGUGGGUUCGAUCCCCAUCCUGGUCA